AUUGAACGCUGGCGGCAGGCUUAACACAUGCAAGUCGAACGAGUGGCGGACGGGUGAGUAAUGUCUGGGACACUGCCUGAUGGAGGGGGAUAACUACUGGAAACGGUAGCUAAUACAGCAUACCAUCAGAUGUGCCCAGAUGGGAUUAGCUAGUAGGUGGGGUAAUGGCUCACCUAGGCGACGAUCCCUAUCUGGUCUGAGAGGAUGACCAGCCACACUGGAACUGAGACACGGUCCAGACGCCUACGGGAGGCAGCAGGGGGGAAUAGUGCACAAUGGGCGCAAGCCUGAUGCAGCCAUGCCGCGUGUGUGAAGAAGGCCUUCGGGUUGUAAAGUACUUUCAGCGAGGAGGCGUUACUCGCAGAAGAAGCACCGGCUAACUCCGUGCCAGCAGCCGCGGUAAUUC
RNAcentral lists this ribosomal RNA (406 nucleotides) under uncultured bacterium. RNAcentral's name for it is "partial 16S ribosomal RNA". It matches the Rfam family "Bacterial small subunit ribosomal RNA", at positions 30 to 526 of the family's 1533-position model. The record is from RNAcentral.